Episyrphus balteatus (marmalade hoverfly) is the source of this 1377-nucleotide long non-coding RNA. RefSeq lists it as uncharacterized. The transcript is spliced from 4 exons. NCBI's taxonomy places the organism in Eukaryota, Metazoa, Arthropoda, Insecta, Diptera, Syrphidae. The record is from RefSeq and is a predicted model, not a curated record.
GUUCGGCAACAUAUUAAGGUAUUUAAAGUUUGCAGUUUUUCGCAAGUGAUUUACUCAUAAAUAUAGUGAUCAAAAUCAAAAACUUUUCUCGUGGUGCUAUUGUAUUUGUUUCGAUAUAAAAAAAAAAACAUAAAUAAAUAGAAGGGUGGGAGUAAGGAUGAUAUAAUCUUUCCAAUAUUAAAUAGUAGUAGGUACAUAGCGACAACCAAAUCAAACAGAAAAAAAAGGAAGCGCUGCGCUGUACAAGAAAAUUCAAUUACCCUCAUUCUGUACAAAAGGACGAUAAAUCUGAGGAAAUGUACAUGAGUUCUAUUUGAUACAAGGAGAGUCUUACUAUACUCUGACACAUGCAGUUUGGUAUCUAUGGGAUAUUCGGGGAAGGGCACCACAGAGCUCAAGCUCCAGCUAUACACAGCACCACCGACAAGCAUAUAGGGAAUCAGUAUCAGGCGUGUGCCUGGCCUUCCAUACAGUGCGAAUAACAUAUUGAAUUAUAGGUAUUCAAUAUUCGAAUCGAUCAAAAUUGAAUUGACCACAAGAUGAAGAGCAUAAACAAGAAAAGAAGAUGAAGAAGAAAUAACAACAACAGAAACAAUACCGACCCAAUAUCGAACCAAACAGAAAAAACCCAGAGUUUUAAGUUUUAAGAUGAUGACGACGACGAACGAAGAUGAUGAGGGACAUUCUGCUGCACCAGUGUACCACAAACGGCAGACGGGGACGACGAAGACUCAACGACGACGAUGGCACAAAGAUUAUAUAUUUCAUGCAACUUUACCUUCCGGACUAAACAUGCCAACCACAAUGUCACCUAAAUAAAUAAAACAACUUGGUCCUGUACAGUAAUCGGAAUAUCGGCUCAAGAAUUCGGAAGAUUUUAAAAACUAAAUGUCGAGCUAGACUGAAAGGAAAAUGCCUCAUGAAAAAUGGACGCUGUGAAGGUCUUGGAAGGCAGAAUGGUCUUCGGGCUUCCUAGAAUCGAAAGUCACUAUUAGAGAAGCGAGAAUUGAAAACGCCAACUUUUAAGGUAACUUGCCAAAAUGUCAUAGUACAGUAUUUUUGUAAAAACUUAGUUGGAUAAAAAAGUUAUAUUUUAACCCUCUGCCGGCACACGGGUGCGAAUUUGGCAGGACAAAAAUAAAAAAAAAUACGAUUUUUCAAAAAAGUGGUCAUAAAAAAGUCUCUUUAUAAGGGUGAAAAUAUUUUUUUUCGGAAUUGUGAAUACAAUAUUCGAAUUCCUCGGAAUAUUCUACAUCAAUUUCAUACUUGAUUCUCUAUAAAAUAUUGUGACCGAAAAAAGUUCUAGCGACAUGAAAAAGUAUAAACCAAAUUCUCACCCGUGUGCCUAUCACGUCACAAAAAAGAGGUGUGCCUACA